GACCACAGUUUAUUUAUUUACUUCACUUAUAGUCCAUCUUUCUUAAUGAGACUCUGUUCAACAUGGUUUCAGGUGGGUAGCUGUGUUGGCCUGCAGCAGAAGAGCAAGAUUUGAAUCCAGUAGCAUCUUAAAGACCAACAAGAUGUCCAAGGAGAUCUUCAAGGUUCUUUGGAAUUACGACACCCAAAUACCUCCAUUUUUCUUUCACCCAUUUGAAGGGAUAGACUAAUUUAAGUGGUUCUUCUUGUUCCUUGGGCUGAAGCUAUGGAGAUGUAUUUCCUUCAGAUUACAGCUUUCAAUGCAUCCCAGACAUAAUCCUGGGAGACACCACAAUUUAAGUUAAAUUUGAAGUAGUUUUGGAUUUCUACUUCUAUUUCUUUGUAUGAUGAAAUAUCAAAUAAAAGCAAUUUGU
This is a long non-coding RNA of Eublepharis macularius, 412 nucleotides long. RefSeq lists it as uncharacterized. The record is from RefSeq and is a predicted model, not a curated record. The transcript is spliced from 3 exons. NCBI's taxonomy places the organism in Eukaryota, Metazoa, Chordata, Lepidosauria, Squamata, Eublepharidae.